CCCUUAGAUGUUCGGGGCCGCACGCGCGCUACACUGAAGGAAUCAGCACGUCUUUCUCCUUGUCCGAAAGGACUGGGUAACCCGCUGAACCUCCUUCGUGCUAGGGAUUGGGGCUUGUAAUUCUUCCCCAUGAACGAGGAAUUCCCAGUAAGCGCGAGUCAUAAGCUCGCGUUGAUUACGUCCCUGCCCUUUGUACACACCGCCCGUCGCUACUACCGAUUGGAUGGUUUAGUGAGAGCCUCGGAUUGGUCCCGGCGCGGCCUCUGGUCGUGCCGGAGUGCCGAAAAGAAUGUCGAACUUGAUCAUCUAGAGGAAGUAAAAGUCGUAACA
This 330-nucleotide ribosomal RNA is filed under the name uncultured eukaryote. Its description in RNAcentral is "partial 18S ribosomal RNA". It matches the Rfam family "Eukaryotic small subunit ribosomal RNA", at positions 1470 to 1796 of the family's 1831-position model. The record is from RNAcentral.